GGCAUUUGAAAGCUUUCCCAUGCCGGUUUGACUUGAUUUUUUCGCAAAAAAUCUGCACUAACCGUGAACGUGACUGGCAAGUAGAAACUGGCAAGCGACUUCCGACUUUCAGAUAAGUUCUCGCACCCGCACCAGCACCAGCAGCUUGAUCCCAGUUCCAAUACCAGUACUCCGCUGCACUGUAUGAAGUGAUACCCAACUGUUGUUUGUUGCCGGCGCUCAGUGACGCCCCACUUCCCGAUUGAAUCAGUUGUGUGUUCCCGCUAACGUCGAAUAUGGGCAUCGAAAAAUUUGUACCAUGCACCCUGAGGCUGAAUAAGCUGAUGAAAGGAAGUGGCACCGAUUGCGUUUGUGUGAUUGACCAGGAUGUUCUGCCUACAGAACUUAAGGCCACUUUCGACGAGCAUCGCUCGUUCGACAAGUCCUUCGAUAGCAGCAUCUCCUGCUUCCGAGCCGCUAAUGUGGAACAGCCUGUGGUCUACGCACCCGUGGGAGAUCUGAAUGACUACGAUGAUGUCCGAUCUUAUCAGGAGGCUGCCAAAAAAUCCAUGCAGAAGGUCCUCAAGGCUGGCUUCAACACUCCGUUGCUGUUUGUGCCCAAGGUGAAGCGCUUUCCCCAGGCAGAACUAUGCACCGUGCUCGGCGCCUUGGAGCAGCUGUAUGUUCCCAUUCAUUUACGUGAAGCCCAGCCCGGUAAGGACACCCGUGUAACCACCCUCAAUGUGCAGAUUGAUGAUCCCAAAGCGGACGAGAUUCUGCGCGAGGCUUUGAUUUUGGAAGCUGGUCGCUACGUGGCCCGCGACAUCGGCGGUGGCGACCCAGAGAGGAUGGCCCCCAGCCAGGUGGAGAAAUACGUCAAGAAUCUGUUUGACAAGCUCAGCAUGAAUGUGAUCAGCGAUUCGAAUACCCUGCAGAAGGACUAUCCUCUGUUCGCAGCCGUCAAUCGGGCUGCCGAUGUGGUGGAGCGUCACAGAGGUCGCAUCAUCUUCCUGGAAUACAAGCCUCCCAAGCCUGCCCGCAAGACGCUUAUGCUGGUUGGCAAGGGAGUAACCUAUGACACUGGCGGUGCCGAUAUCAAAGCCGGUGGUGUAAUGGCUGGAAUGUCGCGCGACAAGUGCGGAGCUGCUGCUGUCGCUGGAUUCAUGAAGGUGGUCAACGAGAUAAAGCCGGAGGAUAUCCAUGUCGUUGCCGCCUUGUGCAUGGUCCGCAACUCCGUGGGAGAGGAGUGCUACGUGGCCGAUGAGAUCAUCACUUCCCGAGCAGGUCUCCUCGUUCGCAUUGGCAACACAGAUGCCGAAGGACGAAUGUGCAUGACAGAUGCUCUCUGCCGCAUGAAGGAGAUGGCCGUCGAGCAGAGUCUGCCCGAUCCGCAUCUCUUCACGAUCGCCACGCUGACGGGCCAUGCUUUUAUCUCGGCCGGCGAGGGUCAGUCGAUCGCCAUAGACAACAGUGUGGCCCACCAGGCCGAUCAUGCUCGUAAACUUCAGGCAGCUGGCCAGACCUAUGGCGAACCCUUCGAGGUCUCUGUGCUGCGUCCCAGCGACUUUGCCUUUAACGCUGGCAAGGUCAUUGGAGAGGAUCUGGUACAGGCGAACAAUGCCCCGUCGGUGCGUACCCCACGCGGACACCAGGUGCCCGCCGCAUUUAUGAUCAUGGCGUCCGGGCUCGAUAAGCACGGCAUCAAUGCGAAGGUGCCGCUCAAGUAUACCCACAUUGAUAUUGCCGGCAGUGCCGGGGAAUAUCCAGCCAUGCCCACUGCCGCUCCUCUUGUCUCCUUGGUGAAGACUCACUUGUUAGGCUAGAUCCCGAUCCCGGCUGCAUGUUAUAUUACGCAAGCCCAAGUCCCGUACUCAGACAUCAUCACUACUAACUUUUAGUAGUGCCCUUCACCACAUUCUGGCUGCGAUCCACGUUGCCCACGUCGAAGCUUAGACUGGCAAUGCCUUGGGCAAGGGCGGGAUGCGUGGGCGCCAGGCAGAUUAGGCAGAUGCGAUUGGAGUGGUACAGCACCUGGUAGGCGGCAUUGGCUCGGAUGUAGUAGAAGCGCGUGAAGAAACGAUC
This is an RNA transcript of Drosophila miranda, 2061 nucleotides long. It is a transcript of the gene named putative aminopeptidase W07G4.4, with no coding region annotated. The transcript is spliced from 6 exons. Lineage: Eukaryota; Metazoa; Arthropoda; Insecta; Diptera; Drosophilidae. The record is from RefSeq and is a predicted model, not a curated record.